RNAcentral lists this ribosomal RNA (506 nucleotides) under uncultured Glomeraceae. RNAcentral describes it as "SSU rRNA". It matches the Rfam family "Eukaryotic small subunit ribosomal RNA", at positions 569 to 1078 of the family's 1831-position model. The record is from RNAcentral. Lineage: Eukaryota; Fungi; Glomeromycota; Glomeromycetes; Glomerales; Glomeraceae.
CGCAGCCGCGGUAAUUCCAGCUCCAAUAGCGUAUAUUAAAGUUGUUGCAGUUAAAAAGCUCGUAGUUGAAUUUCGGGGUUAGUAGGUUGGUCGUGCCUCUGGUAUGUACUGGUCUCACUGAUUCCUCCUUCCUGAUGAGCCGUAAUGCCAUUAAUUUGGUGUUGCGAGGAAUCUGGACUGUUACUUUGAAAAAAUUAGAGUGUUUAAAGCAGGCUAACGCUUGAAUACAUUAGCAUGGAAUAAUGAAAUAGGACGUUCGAUCCUAUUUUGUUGGUUUCUAGGAUUGACGUAAUGAUUAAUAGGGAUAGUUGGGGGCAUUAGUAUUCAAUUGUCAGAGGUGAAAUUCUUGGAUUUAUUGAAGACUAACUACUGCGAAAGCAUUUGCCAAGGAUGUUUUCAUUAAUCAAGAACGAAAGUUAGGGGAUCGAAGACGAUCAGAUACCGUCGUAGUCUUAACCAUAAACUAUGCCGACUAGGGAUCGGAUGAUGUAAUUUUUAAUGACUCA